This 1563-nucleotide long non-coding RNA is filed under the name Scleropages formosus (Asian bonytongue). RNAcentral describes it as "lncRNA (ENSSFOG00015030403.1)". Lineage: Eukaryota; Metazoa; Chordata; Actinopteri; Osteoglossiformes; Osteoglossidae. The record is from RNAcentral.
AUGAACGACGACGAGGCGGUGGGGGAGGCAAAAAAAGCAUCUUAUACUAAAGAUCCGUCCAGCAGCGAUGUUCCACAUUUCUUUCAGUCAUCUCAAACUGUGGCGGAAGAGAAGCCAGAUGCCUCAGUGGAGAAAAAAUACGAUAAAUUCCAUUCCUUUCAGGAUCAGCAGAAAAUAAAUUUCACAAAGGGCACUCAUUCUGAAGAAAUAGUAGAAGGAAAUGUGAGCUCUGCACGCUCCUCCAGAAUCAUGCAUCUCCUUUCUACACCAUCCAAACAUGUGAGCACCAGCUCCCAGAAGCCUCCACUCAGGAGUUCCUCUGCAUGGUCCAACCUCUCCAGCCUGCGGGUCAUGGGCUCCUUCAGGAAGCUGCGCUCCUCUGUCCUCCAAGGUAUCCAGAGCCGGGCGGAUGCCGUGGAGCCAAGUCCAAGCCGAGGAAAUGACACGUCGCCCCAUCGGGGUGAGGUGGAAGUGAUAAAGUCCAAUCGGAGCGAAGAGAUCAUAAUGCUGCCUAGUAGGAGCCAGGAGGACGAUGUAGUAGAUAAUCAGCGGCAAGGGUUCAUAUCAGAUCGGAACGGCAGCGAUGAGAGCCGAGUGCUGUCGAAUGGGAUGUCGGCCGGUGAGCGGCUAGCGUGGAAUACUGCUGAGGUACGUGGUACGGAGGGAGAGUCGGACGACGAGGCCGCCUUGUGCAGAAACGCUCGCUUCUCUCGUAGUCUUCGCAAAGCCUACGGACCGGGACGCAUCGCGCUCGCGAACACGGGACAACGUUCGCAGCACGAUGCCGUGCUGCUGCGAGACGUAGACGCGGCCGCGCUCUGCCGGGAGCCGCCGGAGAGGGCCGGCGGCGGAAAGGCGUUCGGUAGGCUGAGCAGAAGCACGGACAGCCUCUUCAAAAGCCCAUUCAAGCGUAAGGCGCCGUGCCCCCGACCGGAGGUUCCGCCGAACGGCGACAUCCGGCGAGCCGCUAGCGCCUCGUCGGUGGAGAUCCGGGAAAACGGCCUCAGCCACUGGAAGAGCCACGUGCGGAAGCUGGUGAGCAGCAUGACUGAACUGUCUGCCCGUAAGAGGUGGAGCCCGUCUGCCCAGCCCGCGGCGUCUGCUGUCAGCAAGCUGCACGACGCCUACACUCGAAGAGCCCCUUGCUUACCUGAGAAUGAACGCCGGCGCCGUCCUUCACCUGCUCGCGGUGCGGACGUGCUCGCUCACCCUCUGGGAGACGGGGGCCACGGGUCACCUGCCGCGCAAGGCGCCGGCUCCCCUCGUAUUCCCCCGGUCUUUGUGACCGGUUGCGCUCAGCGCGUCACCUGUCUGGCUGAGACUUCUGAUCUUCAUCGAUCUCAUAGCGAAAGGCAGCUGACCACGGGAGAUGGAAGGCCGUUGUCUGACGCCGAGGAACCCGCGUCGCCCUGCCCUGGCCUUGAGGAGGAUCAGGUUGCACCGAUUUCGCUCGUUUGCGUUUGCAUACACGCGCAGUCACACACACUAGGGGCAGUUCGGAGUCACCAAUUCAUCACGCAUAGACCCGCAUGGUGGCCUCAGGCAGCCUGGACUGUGCAAUAA